This is a long non-coding RNA of Zingiber officinale, 506 nucleotides long. RefSeq lists it as uncharacterized. The transcript is spliced from 2 exons. The record is from RefSeq and is a predicted model, not a curated record. Lineage: Eukaryota; Viridiplantae; Streptophyta; Magnoliopsida; Zingiberales; Zingiberaceae.
AACUUCCACAACAGAAAAUUUUAUGUUAUUUGCCUACUACCAAUGCAGUUUAACUGAUUUUACAUUGACUGAACAAGGUUGAUUUUAUUUAGGUCUAGUGAAAAUACUGAAGAAGUAUGACAAGAGAACAUGAUCACUUGUCAGGCAGCCCUUCAUCGAAAAUGUGCUGCAGUAGCCAUUCUUUACAACUGAUCUCCUAUAUAUACAAACUCGUGAAGGAGUGUGUGGCUAUGCUCGACCACCUCUUCCCCGGUAACAACCUGUCAAUUUCAGCAGAAUGCGACGGACAAAAUGGAGUGCCAAAGCCGGCACAAUCAGGUGGGAGGGUUCCGGAGUUGGAGGAGAUUAAAUAUAUGUAGAGCUUAUACAUGAAGAGCACCGUAGCAGCGCUGUGGUCCUUGAAACAGAUUAGGAGCAAAAGUUCAACAGUCAAAACAGAUUAGAAAAUCUCGUGUUAUAUUGUUCUACCUUUGUUUUAAUAGUGUUAUCAUUUUGUUGGUUGCUUA